RNAcentral lists this transfer RNA (65 nucleotides) under Coleoptera sp. ACP-2013. Its description in RNAcentral is "tRNA-Leu". The record is from RNAcentral. Lineage: Eukaryota; Metazoa; Arthropoda; Insecta; Coleoptera.
UUAUUUUGGCAGAUUAGUGCAGUAAAUUUAGAAUUUAAAAAUGUAAUUUAUUUUACAAAUAAUAC